AAAAGGCUUAGUGGCGGACGGGUGAGUAACGCGUGGGUAACCUGGCCCAUACAGGGGGAUAACACUUAGAAAUAGGUGCUAAUACCGCAUAACAACAGAAAGCGCAUGCUUUUUGUUUGAAAACCAAGGUGGUAUGGGAUGGACCCGCGUCUGAUUUAGCUGGUUGGCGGGGUAAAGGCCCACCAAGGCGACGAUCAGUAGCCGGCCUGAGAGGGUGGACGGCCACAUUGGGACUGAGACACGGCCCAAACUCCUACGGGAGGCAGCAG
RNAcentral lists this ribosomal RNA (269 nucleotides) under uncultured bacterium. RNAcentral's name for it is "partial 16S ribosomal RNA". It matches the Rfam family "Bacterial small subunit ribosomal RNA", at positions 85 to 354 of the family's 1533-position model. The record is from RNAcentral.